GUUGUUGCUGGCUCCUCAGGCAUGUGCACGCUUGUCAUUUUAUUUAUUUAUUUCUCCACUGUGCACCAACUGUAGGUCUGGAGUUUUUGUUUGAAAUCCUUUUGUUUUCGAUUGAGGAUUGCUGUCUCAGCUUUGCCUUGCAUCUCCAGGUCUAUAUUUUAUACAAUCACUCAAUGUGUUUGGAAUGUUGAAUUGCAAAUAUAUAUAUACAACUUUCAGCAACGGAUCUCUUGGCUCUCGCAUCGAUGAAGAACGCAGCGAAAUGCGAUAAGUAAUGUGAAUUGCAGAAUUCAGUGAAUCAUCGAAUCUUUGAACGCAUCUUGCGCUCCUUGGUAUUCUGAGGAGCAUGCCUGUUUGAGGGUCAUCAAGUUCUCAACCACGUUGAUUUGCUUCAAUCUGGAUUGGAUUUGGGGUUUGCAGGCCUUUUCAAAAGGGUCUGCUUUCCUAAAAUGAAUUAGUGGUAUAUCUGAGCAGAGACUUAUGUACUACAGGUGUGAUAACUAUCUAUGCCUUUGUAAAGUGCUGCACAAAACCACUUCAAAAUCUCAUUGUUGACCAAUUUGACCUCAAAUCAGGUAGGACUACCCGCUGAACUUAAGCAUAUCAAUA
RNAcentral lists this ribosomal RNA (609 nucleotides) under uncultured Inocybe. RNAcentral's name for it is "eukaryotic LSU rRNA". The stretch from base 211 to 364 matches the Rfam family "5.8S ribosomal RNA". The record is from RNAcentral. Lineage: Eukaryota; Fungi; Basidiomycota; Agaricomycetes; Agaricales; Cortinariaceae.